UAUCUUUUCUGGAAACCCUUGCUCCUGAUUGGCAGAUACAUAUACAACUACCUAGCCAACAUCCUUAACUUGGAUGUCUGUGAGGCAUCUAAAGUCUAACUUGUGCAGAGAAUUGAAAACUGAUGAAAUACUGGCUUCCUUAUGGUCCUUUCAUCUUUGAAGAAAAUUCUUCUACUGAAACUCGGUCAUCAUGGACGCUAAUCAUAGCCAUAACCAAAAGUCCUUCUUUAAGAAACUUUGGCCAUUAGGCAGCCAAAAUGAUUUGUCAUGCUGAACAGAAGGGAAGGAGUUCUCAGUCCCUGGCUGUGUGGAUGAAGUUACAGUUCAGUGGUGAACACCGUUUUUCCAAGUUCUAGGUUCCACAGAUCCAUGUGCAGCAAUUCACAACCACCUCAUCAGCAGAAGGCUUGAGCUGGACCUUCCUUCAGAAGUGGAAGUGAGCAACUCCACCUGCUCCUGUGACCAGAGUACAGUGAACACAGUGCUGAUGAGAAAAGAUUACCUUGCCACAUGCAAACCUUAGUGCUGAGAGCAAGAUAAAGACAGGACCUGUGCAGAAAACCUGGGCCAACUGCACUUUCAUCAAAUGUCCUGCACACGGGAGUAGCGGUGCUAUGAAAGCUUUGCCUAAAGCCACUCUGUGACACCCAUUCAUGUGCUGUCUCCCAUGUGCUUGAC
Non-coding RNA from Heterocephalus glaber (naked mole-rat), 678 nucleotides. Lineage: Eukaryota; Metazoa; Chordata; Mammalia; Rodentia; Bathyergidae. The record is from RefSeq and is a predicted model, not a curated record.